RNAcentral lists this ribosomal RNA (770 nucleotides) under Propionibacterium sp. Its description in RNAcentral is "bacterial SSU rRNA". It matches the Rfam family "Bacterial small subunit ribosomal RNA", at positions 56 to 839 of the family's 1533-position model. The record is from RNAcentral. Lineage: Bacteria; Bacillati; Actinomycetota; Actinomycetes; Propionibacteriales; Propionibacteriaceae.
UGCAGUCGACGGAAAGGCCCUGCUUUUGUGGGGUGCUCGAUGGGCGAACGGGUGAGUAACACGUGAGUAACCUGCCCUUGACUUUGGGAUAACUUCAGGAAACUGGGGCUAAUACCGGAUAGGAGCUCCUGCUGCAUGGUGGGGGUUGGAAAGUUUCGGCGGUUGGGGAUGGACUCGCGGCUUAUCAGCUUGUUGGUGGGGUAGUGGCUUACCAAGGCUUUGACGGGUAGCCGGCCUGAGAGGGUGACCGGCCACAUUGGGACUGAGAUACGGCCCAGACUCCUACGGGAGGCAGCAGUGGGGAAUAUUGCACAAUGGGCGGAAGCCUGAUGCAGCAACGCCGCGUGCGGGAUGACGGCCUUCGGGUUGUAAACCGCUUUCGCCUGUGACGAAGCGUGAGUGACGGUAAUGGGUAAAGAAGCACCGGCUAACUACGUGCCAGCAGCCGCGGUGAUACGUAGGGUGCGAGCGUUGUCCGGAUUUAUUGGGCGUAAAGGGCUCGUAGGUGGUUGAUCGCGUCGGAAGUGUAAUCUUGGGGCUUAACCCUGAGCGUGCUUUCGAUACGGGUUGACUUGAGGAAGGUAGGGGAGAAUGGAAUUCCUGGUGNAGCGGUGGAAUGCGCAGAUAUCAGGAGGAACACCAGUGGCGAANGCGGUUCUCUGGGCCUUUCCUGACGCUGAGNAGCGAAAGCGUGGGGAGCGAACAGGCUUAGAUACCCUGGUAGUCCACGCUGUAAACGNUGGGUACUAGUGUGGGGUCCAUUCCACGGG